GAUGAACGCUGGCGGCGUGCCUAAUACAUGCAAGUCGAGCGGACAGACGAGGAGCUUGCUCCUCUGACGUUAGCGGCGGACGGGUGAGUAACACGUGGAUAACCUACCUAUAAGACUGGGAUAACUUCGGGAAACCGGAGCUAAUACCGGAUAAUAUAUUGAACCGCAUGGUUCAAUAGUGAAAGACGGUUUUGCUGUCACUUAUAGAUGGAUCCGCGCCGCAUUAGCUAGUUGGUAAGGUAACGGCUUACCAAGGCAACGAUGCGUAGCCGACCUGAGAGGGUGAUCGGCCACACUGGAACUGAGACACGGUCCAGACUCCUACGGGAGGCAGCAGUAGGGAAUCUUCCGCAAUGGGCGAAAGCCUGAGGAGCAACGCCGCGUGAGUGAUGAAGGUCUUCGGAUCGUAAAACUCUGUUAUUAGGGAAGAACAAAUGUGUAAGUAACUAUGCACGUCUUGACGGUACCUAAUCAGAAAGCCACGGCUAACUACGUG
This 496-nucleotide ribosomal RNA is filed under the name uncultured bacterium. Its description in RNAcentral is "partial 16S ribosomal RNA". It matches the Rfam family "Bacterial small subunit ribosomal RNA", at positions 28 to 507 of the family's 1533-position model. The record is from RNAcentral.